ACCUGUGGGUGGUGGGGGUCCCGUGGGUGGGGGGGGCAGGGAGAUGUGGGGCCCCAUAGAUGUGGGGCAGGACUUACAAGUGGGGGGUGGGACCCAUGGAUCUGUGGGGCCCCAUAGAUUUGUGGGGCUGAGAUCCAUAGGUGGGUCCCAUGGAUGUGUGGGGCAGGGAGCUGUGGGACCCCAUAGAUGUGUGGGGCGGGACCCAUGGAUGGGGGAUGAAAUGUAUGGAUGUGUGGGGCGGGACCCAUGGAUCCAUGGAGUCGAGCUCAGUGAUUUGUGGGGUCAGCCCCAUAGAUCUGUGGGGUGGAACGUUCAUACCUUAAUGUUGGCAGCAAGGGGUUAUGGAACAAUGGGCUGGGAUCCAUACAGCUGCAGAAGUAAACCUGGAGAUCUAUGGGGCCAGACCCACACAUCUAUGGGGUCAGCCCCACAGAUCUAUGGGGUGGAACGUUCAUAUCUUAACUGUGACAGCAAAGAACCUAUAGAGCAAUGGGCUGGGAUCCAUAGAGCUGCAGAAGGAAACCUGGACAUCUAUGGGGCCAGCCCCACAGAUCUAUGGGGCCAAACCCACGCAUCUAUGGGGCCAGACCCACAGAUCUAUGGGGUGGAACGUUCAUAUCUUAACUGUGACAGCAAAGAACGUAUAGAGCAAUGGACUGGGAUCCAUAGAGCUGCAGAAGCAAACCUGGACAUCUAUGGGGCCAGACCCACACAUCUAUGGGGCCAGACCCACACAUCUAUGGGGUCAGCCCCACAGAUCUAUGGGGCGGAACGCUCCUAUCUUAACUCUGAUACUGAAAAACCCAUAGAGAGAGGAGCUGGGAUCCAUAGACCCACAGAGCCGAAGCUGGAGAUCUGUGGGGCCAGCCCCACAGAUCUAUGGGGCCGGCCCCACGCUUUCCCCCCAGGCUGAUGGUGCUGAAGAUGCAGAACCUCCACGGGCCGCGGCGCCAUGGGGGCAGCAGCGACAGCGAGAGCGACAGCAGCGAGGAGGAGGAGGAGGAUGAAGAGCGGAGCCCCCAGCUGCACCUCGCCAUCAUCCCCCACUACGGCGGCAUCAACCGCGUGCGGGUACUGAGCCACAGCGCCCCAUAGAUCCGUGGGGCUGACCCAUAGCGCGCCAUAGAUCCGUGGGGCUGACCCAUAGCGCCCCAUAGAUCUGUAAGGCUGACCCAUAGUGCCCCAUAGAUCCGUGGGGCUGACCCAUAGCGACCCAUAGAUCUGUAAGGCUGACCCAUAGCGCCCCAUAGAUCCGUGGGGCUGACCCACAGUGCCCCCAUAGCGCGCCAUAGAUCUGUGGGGCUGACCCAUAGCGCCCCAUAGGUCCGUGGGACAGACCCAUAGCGCCUCAUAGAUCCAUGGGGCUGACCCACAGUGUCCCAUAGAUCCGUGGGGCUGACCCAUAGUGCCCCCAUAGUGCUCCAUAGACAGGUGGUGCUGACGACCCAUAGCGCCCCAUAGAUCCGUGGGGCUGACCCAUAGCGCCCCAUAGAUCUGUAAGGCUGACCCAUAGUGCCCAAUAGAUCCGUGGGGCUGACCCACAGCGCCCCAUAGAUCUGU
This is a long non-coding RNA of Phasianus colchicus (ring-necked pheasant), 1560 nucleotides long. The record is from Ensembl. Lineage: Eukaryota; Metazoa; Chordata; Aves; Galliformes; Phasianidae.